UUUUUUUUUUUUUUUGUAUUCUUAUAAAUUAUAUUUUAUUCUUCACUGAAAAUAAUGCUGUACUAAUUGCAGCCUGUUAUUAUAAAUUGAACAAUUUUUUUUAACCAAUCUUUUUAACACACCAGACUUGCAAAACAAAGUGUGUGUUUAUUAAUGAGAUUGCAAUUUUAUUUAAAGUGUUAGAGUCCUAAAUAUAUAAUUAAUUCUGGUCAAAUGAAAUGUUUGCAAGAUUUGCUUGCAAGUUUGCAUUUUGUUGUCAAUAGUGACAUUGUGAGAGACAUAAGUGUGAAGAAAUGUCAAUUCACAGCAGCAGUAAUAAUAAAUAAUCCAAAGUUGACCAACUACUGCCAGUAUUAGUAGUUUGUAAAACAGAUCUUUUUGGUGUACUUCUUGGAAAACAUUGACUUUGUUCUCUUGCAUCAGAAGUUGGUUAAUUUCAAGUUUUUGUAUUUAUAUUAGUUUAUAAAUCAAAACUAUGUUUAUUGCUGUUUUUAGUUUCCAAUGGUUUUCUUUCUCUAAUGCUAUUUACUGAACAGACAAAAAUCAUAGCCCAUCGCUUUAGAUAGAUUCAAAGAUUUCAACAGGUUCCCAUUGUAUGCAUCUGCGAUGCCAGAAGUUGUAUUUACUGUACAUCUCAAUCAAAUUUUGCUUGUAUGUACAUAAUUACCCAUUUUAAUGUGCUAUUAAAUUUCAUAUGAAAGGAAAU
Molecule: non-coding RNA, 706 nt
Organism: Biomphalaria pfeifferi
Lineage: Eukaryota; Metazoa; Mollusca; Gastropoda; Planorbidae
Source: the annotation of a GenBank genome assembly